RNAcentral lists this ribosomal RNA (762 nucleotides) under Triticum aestivum (bread wheat). RNAcentral's name for it is "partial small subunit ribosomal RNA". Lineage: Eukaryota; Viridiplantae; Streptophyta; Magnoliopsida; Poales; Poaceae. The record is from RNAcentral.
AUGGCUGGUGGUAAAGGAGUGCAGCAACGCACCACCUCGGGUGGUUCCCAGUCGCCGGCUCCGGAGGAGCGGCGAGGGGGCAGCCGCUCCAGGCGCGGCCAUCGCGGUGAGGUCGUGGUUAGGGAGAUCGUGCGCGAGACCGCAAUCAGCGGUAGCGUGCCCAUCACCUUCCCGAUGCUCAUGCGCUCGAACUACAGCGAGUGGGCGUUGAUCAUGGAGUGCAACCUUCAUGCGGCGAGCCUCUGGGCUCCCAUGGAGGACAACCUGGUCGAGAGAAAGGAGGACAGGAAAGCCGUGGCGGCACUCAUGCGCGCCACGCCGCCGGAGAUGCACGGCAUGCUCGCGGCGAAGGCAAGUGCCAAGGAGGCGUGGGAAGCCAUCCGUACCCAGCGCCUCGGCAGCAACCGCGUGCGUGAGGCGAACGCGCAGAAGCUGCGGGCGAACUUCGAGAACAUCGCCUUCAAGGAGGGCGAGCUCGUCGACAACUUCGCCAUGCGGAUCUCCAGCCUUGCGUCACAGCUCUGCGCGCUCGGCGACACCAUGGACGACGCGAGAGUCGUGCGGAAAUUUCUCCGCGUCGUUCCACCUCGUUUCGCUCAGGUAGCGGUCUCCAUCGAGACUUUGCUUGACCUGAGCGAGCUCUCCAUCGAGGAGCUCACGGGCCGGUUGCGGGUGGUCGAGGACCGCCUUGAUGACGGCCGCGAGAGCUUCGGCGGCGGACAACUCCUAUUCUCGAAGAAGUGGGAGGCAAGGAAGUGUUAA